AUUGAACGCUGGCGGCAGGCCUAACACAUGCAAGUCGAGCGGAUGAAGGGAGCUUGCUCCUGGAUUCAGCGGCGGACGGGUGAGUAAUGCCUAGGAAUCUGCCUGGUAGUGGGGGAUAACGUCCGGAAACGGGCGCUAAUACCGCAUACGUCCUGAGGGAGAAAGUGGGGGAUCUUCGGACCUCACGCUAUCAGAUGAGCCUAGGUCGGAUUAGCUAGUUGGUGGGGUAAAGGCCUACCAAGGCGACGAUCCGUAACUGGUCUGAGAGGCUGAUCAGUCACACUGGAACUGAGACACGGUCCAGACUCCUACGGGAGGCAGCAGUGGGGAAUAUUGGACAAUGGGCGAAAGCCUGAUCCAGCCAUGCCGCGUGUGUGAAGAAGGUCUUCGGAUUGUAAAGCUCUUUAAGUUGGGAAGAAGGGCAGUAAGUUAAUACCUUGCUGUUUUGACGUUACCAACAGAAUAAGCACCGGCUAACUUCGUG
This 484-nucleotide ribosomal RNA is filed under the name uncultured bacterium. RNAcentral's name for it is "partial 16S ribosomal RNA". It matches the Rfam family "Bacterial small subunit ribosomal RNA", at positions 30 to 507 of the family's 1533-position model. The record is from RNAcentral.